This 763-nucleotide long non-coding RNA is filed under the name Marmota monax (woodchuck). The record is from RNAcentral. Lineage: Eukaryota; Metazoa; Chordata; Mammalia; Rodentia; Sciuridae.
GCUCUCUCUCUCGGCCCCCCCCGCCCCCCCUUCCCCGCUCAGCGCAUUACUGGGUAACGCAGUGAGGAGCAGUUACAGUCUGUACUCCCGGGCAGCUAUAGGCUGCCACAGGAUGUGCUUAAGCAAACAAAACUACUUUUCCUCAUCCCCAUCCCCCCACCCCCGCCGCAGACCUUCGCGGACCUCGGUGGAGGAUUUGGGCAACUUUGCCAGGUCGCCCUGCACCCCCUGGGCCACUGUGUGGGCACGAAGAGCACCGAGGAGGAGGCCGGGCGACACAUUUGCAUGUAUGCAAAUUUCUUUUAAAAAUCAGACCUCCUAGGUAACUUUUUUCCCCUCUGAAAUGCGGUACGGCUCAAAGCAUUGUAAUCUCUCCAGCGAAGCUUUCUGUGGGAAUAGAUUCGUCGGCAGAGGUAAUUAUGCACAAAAUCCUGUAAACUUUGGGCAGCUUCAGUCCUAUGGCAUUCAGAAGCGGGGGUGGUGAGGAAUAAUUUCACACAGAAGAUUCACCGGAUUGGAGAGGGGGGGGGGGGUCUGGAGAGAGGAAGGCGGAGAUUAAUGAGCGUUCUCCCUCCCAGGACUCUGUAACUAGUGGGUUUGAACACAGAUGCCAUACAAAAAGUUCUGUCACGUUCAGAACCAACAGUGGUUUAGCUGGGACAUCUUUUUUUCUUUCUUUUUAGGAGGAAAAAUAUAUAUGAAAGAAUAUCCCCGUAGGGAAGGGAUAUAUUCUGAUCUACAAACAGUAUGCCCAGAAAUGGAC